GCCGAGCUGGCGGAAUUGGCAGACGCGCACGUUUCAGGGGCGUGUGGACGUGAGUCCAUCAGGGUUCAAGUCCCUGGCUCGGCA
RNAcentral lists this transfer RNA (84 nucleotides) under Pseudomonadota bacterium. Its description in RNAcentral is "tRNA-Leu". The record is from RNAcentral. RNAcentral also lists the same sequence under 4 other names. Lineage: Bacteria; Pseudomonadati; Pseudomonadota.